AGAGGUGGCAAGCGUUGUUCGGAAUUACUGGGCUUAAAGGGCGCGUAGGUGGUGAUAUAAGUCCGGGGUGGAAGGCUGAGGCUUAACCUUGGGAUUGCCCUGGAAACUAUAUCACUUGAGUCAGACAGGGGAUGGUGGAAUUCCUGGUGUAGCGGUGAAAUGCGUAGAUAUCAGGAGGAAGGCCGGUGGCGAAGGCGGCCAUCUGGGUCUGAACUGACACUGAGGCGCGAAAGCGUGGGGAGCAAACAGGGAUUAGAUACCCUGGUAGUCCACGCCCUAAACGGUGGGUACUAGGUGUAGGGCUCGUAAGGGUUCUGUGCCGGAGGGAAACCAUUAAGUACCCCGCCUGGGGAGUACGGCCGCAAGGUUG
Molecule: ribosomal RNA, 370 nt
Filed under: uncultured organism
Description: partial 16S ribosomal RNA
Rfam family: Bacterial small subunit ribosomal RNA
Source: RNAcentral